AACGAACGCUGGCGGCAUGCCUAACACAUGCCAGUCGAACGAGACCUUCGGGUCUAGUGGCGCACGGGUGCGUAACGCGUGGGAACCUGCCCUUAGGUUCGGAAUAACUCCCCGAAAGGGGUGCUAAUACCGGAUAAUGUCUUCGGACCAAAGAUUUAUCGCCUUUGGAUGGGCCCGCGUUGGAUUAGCUAGUUGGUAGGGUAAAAGCCUACCAAGGCGACGAUCCAUAGCUGGUCUGAGAGGAUGAUCAGCCACACUGGGACUGAGACACGGCCCAGAAUCCUACGGGAGGCAGCAGUGGGGAAUAUUGGACAAUGGGCGAAAGCCUGAUCCAGCAAUGACGCGUGAGUGAUGAAGGCCUUAGGGUUGUAAAGCUCUUUUAACCGGGAUGAUAAUGACAGUACCGGGAGAAUAAGCUCCGGCUAACUCCGUG
RNAcentral lists this ribosomal RNA (433 nucleotides) under uncultured bacterium. Its description in RNAcentral is "partial 16S ribosomal RNA". It matches the Rfam family "Bacterial small subunit ribosomal RNA", at positions 29 to 507 of the family's 1533-position model. The record is from RNAcentral.